GUGGGGAAUAUUGGGCAAUGGGCGAAAGCCUGACCCAGCAACGCCGCGUGAAGGAAGAAGGUUUUCGGAUCGUAAACUUCUAUCCUUGGUGAAGAUAAUGACGGUAGCCAAGAAGGAAGCCCCGGCUAACUACGUGCCAGCAGCCGCGGUAAUACGUAGGGGGCAAGCGUUGUCCGGAAUGAUUGGGCGUAAAGGGCGCGUAGGCGGCCCGGUAAGUCUGAAGUGAAAGUCCUGCUUUUAAGGUGGGAAUUGCUUUGGAUACUGUCGGGCUUGAGUGCAGGAGAGGUAAGCGGAAUUCCCGGUGGAGCGGUGAAAUGCGUAGAGAUCGGGAGGAGCACCAGUGGCGAAGGCGGCUUACUGGACUGUAACUGACGCUGAGGCGCGAAAGUGUGGGGAGCAAACAGGAUUAGAUACCCCAGUAGUCC
This 425-nucleotide ribosomal RNA is filed under the name uncultured bacterium. RNAcentral describes it as "partial 16S ribosomal RNA". It matches the Rfam family "Bacterial small subunit ribosomal RNA", at positions 354 to 796 of the family's 1533-position model. The record is from RNAcentral.